Molecule: ribosomal RNA, 299 nt
Filed under: uncultured bacterium
Lineage: Bacteria
Description: partial 16S ribosomal RNA
Rfam family: Bacterial small subunit ribosomal RNA
Source: RNAcentral
AGUAAGUUUUUCGGCCAGGGAUGUGCUCGCGGCCUAUCAGCUUGUUGGUGGGGUAAUGGCCUACCAAGGCUUCGACGGGUAGCCGGCCUGAGAGGGUGACCGGCCACACUGGGACUGAGACACGGCCCAGACUCCUACGGGAGGCAGCAGUGGGGAAUAUUGGACAAUGGGCGGAAGCCUGAUCCAGCAACGCCGCGUGAGGGAUGACGGCCUUCGGGUUGUAAACCUCUUUCAGUACCGACGAAGCGCCGAUGAUGGUGGUGACGGUAGGUACAGAAGAAGCACCGGCCAACUACGUG